This 440-nucleotide ribosomal RNA is filed under the name uncultured bacterium. Its description in RNAcentral is "partial 16S ribosomal RNA". It matches the Rfam family "Bacterial small subunit ribosomal RNA", at positions 338 to 795 of the family's 1533-position model. The record is from RNAcentral.
CCUACGGGCGGCAGCAGUGGGGGAUAUUGCACAAUGGGGGGAACCCUGAUGCAGCGACGCCGCGUGGGUGAAGAAGCGCCUCGGCGCGUAAAGCCCUGUCAGCCGGGAAGCAAAUGACGGUACCUGAAGAAGAAGCCCCGGCUAACUACGUGCCAGCAGCCGCGGGAAUACGUAGGGGGCAAGCGUUAUCCGGAUUUACUGGGUGUAAAGGGGGCCCAGACGGGGAUGCAAGCCAGGUGUGAAAGCCCGGGGCCCAACCCCCGGACUGAUCUUGGAACUGAGUGGCUGGAGUGCAGGAGGGGCAGGCGGAAUUCCUGGUGUAGCGGUGAAAUGCGUAGAUAUCAGGAGGAACACCGAUGGCGAAGGCAGCCUGCUGGACUGCAACUGACGUUGAGGCCCGAAAGCGUGGGGAGCAAACAGGAUUAGAUACCCGGGUAGUC